Molecule: long non-coding RNA, 1303 nt
Organism: Sorghum bicolor (sorghum)
Lineage: Eukaryota; Viridiplantae; Streptophyta; Magnoliopsida; Poales; Poaceae
Exons: 4
Source: RefSeq, a predicted model, not a curated record
UCUUGUUGCCGCUUGAAUUGAAGUUUUAUAAACCUGUUAGUGUUAGAAUACAUAAUGAUCAUUUUAUUUAAAAAAACGUAGUGAUCGAUUCAGGACAAUGCCAAAAUGGUUUCAUUAUUCUGGUGAUGGUUUUUGCAAUUAUUUUUUCUUUUGGUAACAUAAUAUUGGUGUUCUGUCUAGUGGAAAGCAUUGAACUUUAAUUUGACGAACGUAUAGGCGCUUAGUUAUGCUCUUUUCUCUUUUGGCAAGCAAUUAUGACACCAUCAUACCAAGCGCAAGGUGAUAGGUACAUAGUUUAACUUUCUUUAGCAUGCAUUUUAGUAUUUCUGAAAUUUUGUUUCAGAUUGAUAAAUUAAUUGCAAUCUAUAUCCUACAAAUAUUAUGGCCUUGCAGUCUGACAGCUUUUACCAGGUAUUUUUUUUUGGCCUUUGAAGUCUUCAGUAUUAGGUUGUCUCCAAAAUCAUUUGUGCUUAACAGAUCAUGUAGUGUUUACUAUUUUUCUUGAUUUAAGCACUGAUUUCCGUACAUGUAAAUGCUCCUACAAUUUCUUUGUAGAACCUCUGAACUUUUUACAUUGUCUAUACAGUUGCUCAAGCCAUAGAGUUCCAGAACAAGGCUUAUGAAUGGAGCUGCUUCCACUGGCCUUCAAGUUGCUUGAUUAGCUUGAGAAUUGGAAACAGUCUACAUGUUCAAUGCAUUAUUUAGCUUGAAAUAAAAGCUUUACAUAUGUAUCAUCAAUGACAUUCUUCGUGUGCAUAUCAUCCUUUUCUGAAGGAAAGAUAUUAAAAAUUGAUUUUAUCUUUUGCCUAUUCAUCUAUUUAAAAUCUUGUAUUGGGUGUUUUGUUUUAUCUGCAUUUAUGCUACUAUAGCAAUUCUCCCUUCGACACCCCCACCUUUAAAAAAGACUAAAAUUUUAAACAUCCUAAAGGAACACUUGUCUUGUUGCAGACAUGACUAUGACACACUGCUUUAACUGGAUGAAAAUAACCAUCAGCACACUGGUGCUUCAGAAAAGCCAGAUCAAUAAUUUGCCGCAUUCAGUAGUUCAGUCCAAUAGCAUUGAAGAUCCAUGUUCUGUCUGCCUUGAAAAUCCUUCUGUGGGAGAUACUAUCUGCCAUUUGCCAUUUGAAAGAUCAGAAUUGUGCCUAAAAUCAGACCAUCCAUGUUUGCACUGCUUCCGGGCCCCUUUGUGUACCUUGCCAUGCAACCAUCAUUCUGCAAAUAACUCAUUCUCGGAUGGAUGGUAUUAUAUUUAAUACUCAUUAGUUAAUUCAUGUCCCUAACUGAUGCCAUUCUUAGUAAA